UCUUGCGCAAUGGGCGAAAGCCUGACGCAGCAACGCCGCGUGAGGGAAGAAGGCCUUCGGGUUGUAAACCUCUUUCAGGAGGGACGAAGCCACCAGGGUUAAUAGCCUAUGGGGUGACGGUACCUUCAGAAGAAGCCCCGGCUAACUACGUGCCAGCAGCCGCGGUAAUACGUAGGGGGCAAGCGUUGUCCGGAAUCAUUGGGCGUAAAGCGCGUGUAGGCGGCUUGGUAAGUCUGGCGUGAAAUCUUGGGGCUCAACCCCAAGCCUGCGUUGGAUACUGCCUCGCUCGAGUCCGGGAGAGGAAAGCGGAAUUCCCAGUGUAACGGUGAAAUGCGCAGAUAUUGGGAAGAACACCGGUGGCGAAGGCGGCUUUCUGGAACGGUACUGACGCUGAGACGCGAA
This 402-nucleotide ribosomal RNA is filed under the name uncultured bacterium. Its description in RNAcentral is "bacterial SSU rRNA". It matches the Rfam family "Bacterial small subunit ribosomal RNA", at positions 362 to 757 of the family's 1533-position model. The record is from RNAcentral.